GAUGAACGCUAGCGGCAGGCUUAAUACAUGCAAGUCGAGGGGCAGCAGGGUGUAGCAAUACAUCGCUGGCGACCGGCAAACGGGUGCGGAACACGUACACAACUUUCCUUUAAGUGGGGGAUAGCCCAGAGAAAUUUGGAUUAAUACCCCGUAACAUUAUGAAAUGGCAUCAUUUUAUAAUUAUAGCUCCGGCGCUUAAAGAUGGGUGUGCGGCUGAUUAGGUAGUUGGCGGGGAACGGCCCGCCAAGCCUACGAUCAGUAACUGGUGUGAGAGCACGACCAGUCACACGGGGCACUGAGACACGGGCCCGACUCCUACGGGAGGCAGCAGUAAGGAAUAUUGGUCAAUGGACGCAAGUCUGAACCAGCCAUGCCGCGUGAAGGAUGAAGGUCCUCUGGGAUUGUAAACUUCUUUUAUUUGGGUAAGAAACCCAUAUUUUCUAAUGUGGUUGACGGUACCAGAUGAAU
RNAcentral lists this ribosomal RNA (468 nucleotides) under uncultured bacterium. RNAcentral's name for it is "bacterial SSU rRNA". It matches the Rfam family "Bacterial small subunit ribosomal RNA", at positions 28 to 487 of the family's 1533-position model. The record is from RNAcentral.